Small nucleolar RNA from Asterias rubens (European starfish), 148 nucleotides. The record is from RefSeq and is a predicted model, not a curated record. Lineage: Eukaryota; Metazoa; Echinodermata; Asteroidea; Forcipulatida; Asteriidae.
AUCCAAAGUGUUGAGUUCGUGGCAGACAGCCCAUGACUGCCAUGGUAAUUAAACUUUGGAAAAUUAAAAGUGGAUGCUUGUUUUGGGGUUUCCCUUCUUGAUGUAAGUUCAAAGGGAUUCAUGUCAGAUAAACAAGCAUCCUACACUG